GAUGAACGCUGACAGAAUGCUUAACACAUGCAAGUCAACCUUUGCCGGCCGCGUGAGUAACGCGUAAAUAACUUGCCUCACCGCUAGGGACAACAUUUGGAAACGAAUGCUAAUAUCUAAUCCUGUGUGAGAGCUUUGCGUCCCAUUAGCUCGUUGGAGAGGUAACGGCUCACCAAGGCGAUGAUGGGUAGCCGGCCUGAGAGGGUGAUCGGGCACAAAGGGACUGAGACACGGCCAUUACGCCUACGGGAGGCAUGAGUGGGGAAUAUAGGAAAAUAGACCGAAGUAUGAUCAAGCAAUUAUGGGUGCAAGAUAAAGUUGUCGGGAGGAAAAGGGCUUUCAGUUGAGAAGCGGUACCAGCAGAAGAAGUAACGGCUAAAUACGUGCCAGCAGCCGCGGUAAUAC
Molecule: ribosomal RNA, 405 nt
Filed under: uncultured bacterium
Lineage: Bacteria
Description: partial 16S ribosomal RNA
Rfam family: Bacterial small subunit ribosomal RNA
Source: RNAcentral